CCUACGGGGGGCUGCAGUGGGGAAUAUUGGACAAUGGGCGCAAGCCUGAUCCAGCCAUGCCGCGUGAGUGAAGAAGGCCUUCGGGUUGUAAAGCUCUUUUGUCCGGAAAGAAAAGCUCGGGAUUAAUACUCCUGGGUCAUGACGGUACCGGAAGAAUAAGCACCGGCUAACUUCGUGCCAGCAGCCGCGGUAAUACGAAGGGUGCAAGCGUUACUCGGAAUUACUGGGCGUAAAGCGUGCGUAGGUGGUUUGUUAAGUCCGAUGUGAAAGCCCUG
Molecule: ribosomal RNA, 275 nt
Filed under: uncultured bacterium
Lineage: Bacteria
Description: partial 16S ribosomal RNA
Rfam family: Bacterial small subunit ribosomal RNA
Source: RNAcentral